UAUAAUCAAGCUGUUCUUUUUAAGACAGCAGGUGCUUUUCGCAUAAUGGUUUUUACCGCCUGCCGAGAGAGGAUGCAUACUUUAGAUAUUAUAUCGGUAUGUUUACGCCCUUUCUGCGGUAUGCGGAAAGGGCUUUAAUUUAUGUAUA
Regulatory RNA element from Clostridium sp. CAG:413, 148 nucleotides. It matches the Rfam family "Ribosomal protein L10 leader". From Rfam's summary of the family: This family is a putative r-protein leader autoregulatory structure found in B. subtilis and other low-GC Gram-positive bacteria. It is located in the 5' untranslated regions of mRNAs encoding ribosomal proteins L10 and L12 (rplJ-rplL). Lineage: Bacteria; Bacillati; Bacillota; Clostridia; Eubacteriales; Clostridiaceae. The record is from Rfam.